Molecule: ribosomal RNA, 484 nt
Filed under: uncultured bacterium
Lineage: Bacteria
Description: bacterial SSU rRNA
Rfam family: Bacterial small subunit ribosomal RNA
Source: RNAcentral
AUUGAACGCUGGCGGAAUGCUUUACACAUGCAAGUCGAACGGCAGCACGGACUUCGGUCUGGUGGCGAGUGGCGAACGGGUGAGUAAUGUAUCGGAACGUGCCCAGUCGUGGGGGAUAACGUAGUGAAAAUUACGCUAAUACCGCAUACGAUCUAUGGAUGAAAGCGGGGGAUCGCAAGACCUCGCGCGAUUGGAGCGGCCGAUAUCAGAUUAGGUAGUUGGUGGGGUAAAGGCCCACCAAGCCAACGAUCUGUAGCUGGUCUGAGAGGACGACCAGCCACACUGGAACUGAGACACGGUCCAGACUCCUACGGGAGGCAGCAGUGGGGAAUUUUGGACAAUGGGCGCAAGCCUGAUCCAGCCAUUCCGCGUGCAGGACGAAGGCCUUCGGGUUGUAAACUGCUUUUGUACAGAACGAAAAGCCUUGGGUUAAUACCCUGGGGUCAUGACGGUACUGUAAGAAUAAGCACCGGCUAACUACGUG